GACGAACGCUGGCGGCGUGCUUAACACAUGCAAGUCGAACGGAAAGGCCCUGCUUUUGUGGGGUGCUCGAGUGGCGAACGGGUGCGUAACACGUGAGUAACCUGCCCUUGACUUUGGGAUAACUUCACGAAACUGGGGCUAAUCCCGUAUAGGAGCUCCUGCUGCAUGGAGGGGGUUGGAAAGUUGCGGCGGUCGGGGAUGGACUCGCGGCUUAUCAGCUUGCUGGUGGGGUAGUGGCUUACCAAGGCUUUGACGGGUAGCCGGCCUGAGAGGGUGACCGGCGACAUGGGGACUAAGAUACGGCCCAGACUCCUACGUGAGGCAGCAGUGGGGAAUAUUGCACAAUGGGAGGAAGCGUGAUGCAGCAACGCCGCGUGCGGGAUGACGUCCUUCGGGUUGUGAACCGCUUUCGCCUGUGACGAAGCGUGAGUGACGGUAAUGGAUAAAGAAGCACCGGCUAACUACGUG
Molecule: ribosomal RNA, 468 nt
Filed under: uncultured bacterium
Lineage: Bacteria
Description: partial 16S ribosomal RNA
Rfam family: Bacterial small subunit ribosomal RNA
Source: RNAcentral